GGCGAAUGAAUUUACCGGCCGCGUUUUCGCCUUAGAGUUUGAUCCUGGCUCACGACGAACGCUGGCGGCGCGCCUAACACAUGCAAGUCGAACGAGCGAGAGAGAGCUUGCUUUCUCGAGCGAGUGGCGAACGGGUGAGUAACGCGUGAGGAAUCUGCCUCAAAGAGGGGGACAACAGUUGGAAACGACUGCUAAUACCGCAUAAGCCCGCGGCUCGGCAUCGAGCAGAGGGAAAAGGAGCAAUCCGCUUUGAGAUGGCCUCGCGUCCGAUUAGCUAGUUGGUGAGGUAAUGGCCCACCAAGGCGACGAUCGGUAGCCGGACUGAGAGGUUGAACGGCCACAUUGGGACUGAGACACGGCCCAGACUCCUACGGGAGGCAGCAGUGGGGAAUAUUGCACAAUGGGGGAAACCCUGAUGCAGCGACGCCGCGUGGAGGAAGAAGGUCUUCGGAUUGUAAACUCCUGUUGUUGAGGAAGAUAAUGACGGUACUCAACAAGGAAGUGACGGCUAACUACGUGCCAGCAGCCGCGGUAAAACGUAGGUCACAAGCGUUGUCCGGAAUUACUGGGUGUAAAGGGAGCGCAGGUGGGAAGACAAGUUGGAAGUGAAAUCUAUGGGCUCAACCCAUAAACUGCUUUCAAAACUGUUUUUCUUGAGUAGUGCAGAGGUAGGCGGAAUUCCCGGUGUAGCGGUGGAAUGCGUAGAUAUCGGGAGGAACACCAGUGGCGAAGGCGGCCUACUGGGCACCAACUGACGCUGAGGCUCGAAAGUGUGGGUAGCAAACAGGAUUAGAUACCCUGGUAGUCCACACGGUAGACGAUGAUUACUAGGUGUUGGAGGAUUGACCCCUUCAGUGCCGCAGUUAACACAAUAAGUAAUCCACCUGGGGAGUACGACCGCAAGGUUGAAACUCAAAGGAAUUGACGGGGGCCCGCACAAGCAGUGGAGUAUGUGGUUUAAUUCGACGCAACGCGAAGAACCUUACCAAGUCUUGACAUCCCUUGACGAUGCUGGAAACAGUAUUUCUCUUCGGAGCAAGGAGACAGGUGGUGCAUGGUUGUCGUCAGCUCGUGUCGUGAGAUGUUGGGUUAAGUCCCGCAACGAGCGCAACCCUUACUGUCAGUUACUACGCAAGAGGACUCUGGCAGGACUGCCGUUGACAAAACGGAGGAAGGUGGGGAUGACGUCAAAUCAUCAUGCCCUUUAUGACUUGGGCUACACACGUACUACAAUGGCGUUAAACAAAGAGAAGCAAGACCGCGAGGUGGAGCAAAACUCAGAAACAACGUCCCAGUUCGGAAUGCAGGCUGCAACUCGCCUGCACGAAGUCGGAAUUGCUAGUAAUCGUGGAUCAGCAUGCCACGGUGAAUACGUUCGCCGGGCCCUUGUACACACCGCCCGUC
RNAcentral lists this ribosomal RNA (1404 nucleotides) under uncultured bacterium. RNAcentral describes it as "bacterial SSU rRNA". It matches the Rfam family "Bacterial small subunit ribosomal RNA". The record is from RNAcentral.